Molecule: ribosomal RNA, 428 nt
Filed under: uncultured bacterium
Lineage: Bacteria
Description: partial 16S ribosomal RNA
Rfam family: Bacterial small subunit ribosomal RNA
Source: RNAcentral
UGGGGAAUCUUGCGCAAUGGGGGAAACCCUGACGCAGCAACGCCGUGUGAGUGAUGAAGGCUUUCGGGUCGUAAAGCUCUGUCAGAUGGGAAGAAUUAGUCCGUUGAAAAUAUCGGCGGACGAUGACGGUACCAUCGAAGGAAGCACCGGCUAACUCCGUGCCAGCAGCCGCGGUAAUACGGAGGGUGCAAGCGUUGUUCGGAAUUAUUGGGCGUAAAGCGCGUGUAGGCGGAUAGAUAAGUCAGGUGUGAAAUCCCUUGACUCAAUCAAGGAACUGCACUUGAAACUAUUUAUCUUGAGUACGAUAGGGGAGGGCGGAAUUCCCAGUGUAGAGGUGAAAUUCAUAGAUAUUGGGAGGAACACCAGUGGCGAAGGCGACCCUCUGGAUCGAUACUGACGCUGAGACGCGAAAGCGUGGGUAGCAAACA